Long non-coding RNA from Hypanus sabinus (Atlantic stingray), 2124 nucleotides. RefSeq lists it as uncharacterized. NCBI's taxonomy places the organism in Eukaryota, Metazoa, Chordata, Chondrichthyes, Myliobatiformes, Dasyatidae. The transcript is spliced from 3 exons. The record is from RefSeq and is a predicted model, not a curated record.
GCAAUCUCAAGCAGCACACAUAAAAUGCUGGAGGAACUCAGCAGGUCGGACAGCAUCUUUGGAGGGGAGCGGAGAGUCAGCGUUUUGGACGGAGACAGGAUCGACAGUCCCAGAUGAAGACAAUGGCAAACCAUUUCUGAAGAAUUUGCCAAGAACAAUCACGGUCAUAGACGAUGAUCGCCCACGUCAUACAACACGGCGCACAACGAUGAUGAUCGUGAUUCCCAGAAUCCUCCGUUCUACCACACUCCUCAGAGCCCUACGCCGUCACAGGAAGAACUUGCAAACUCCACACAGACAGCGCCAGAGGUCAGGAUUAAGCUCAGCUCUCGGCUACCCCACUCUGCUGCCCUUCUGAAGACGAAUACUUUGUGGUGUGGCAGGUCCAGGACCCUGACCUAGAGUUGCACUCAAACUUUUGUUCUUUCCGCUGAUGGUUCCCCCUCCCAGGGGCUCGCUGACAGACCAUUUCUCGACAUCCCAAGGGCUAGAAAGCGAGCGGGCCUUUAGGAUUCCGAGGCCUCGUGGCCCUGGGGACAAGCAAUUCUAAGCCAGUGCCACCAUCGCAGGACACAUCAGGAGCAGCGGAUCAAUUGUCGGUGGUUCUGUACACAGAUCACCCCUCUCUCUCGCACACAUUGGUGGGGAGAGUUCGUGGCCAAUUCUCAAGUCGGAGAACUUGGAAAACUUUAACACCAUAAAUCAGUGAGCUGAUUUGCCUAUGUCUCCCCUCUCGCUGAGUGACACCCCUAUGCCAUUUACUAGGGAGAGAGAGAGUGCCUAAUGUAUGUUGAAUUAUCUGGUGAACAAUUAGUUUUUGUUGUACUGCAGAUCACAGUCUUUUUUUGGGGGUCUUUGCUAUUGCAUGCUUGGUGGGUGGAGGUUGCUGAUGCUGAAGGAGGAGGGUCGACACUUGCUACUGUUUGUGCGUGGCAGGGAGCAUGGGGGGCACUCUGGGGUUCUAACAUUUUCACUAUCACUCAUUCCUUGGGCCACUCUUCUGUUUUAUGUGGGUGUCUGUGAAGAACAAGAAUUUCAGGUUGUACAUUGUAUAUAUGCGCGGAUAGUGAAAGAAACUAUUGAAAUAAUGAACUCUGUAAUGAUCAAUAAAACAUUGCCUGGUGUCUCAGGGCUGGGUGUAUCUGCACCCACACCACCCCUGUCCCUGGCACUGCCAUCUGUCACACACCCCUCCCACGUCUCUCCACCUUCGUCAUUCCCAACAUACUCUGUUCCUGCCAGAUUUACAAACUCGCUCUCUGCUCCACGUUGACAAAUACGGUACUGUACAAAAGUCUUAGACAUAUAUAUGCCUCGGACCUUUGCACAGUACUGUACCUUCCCCCCACGACCAUGUGGGUUUCCUCCAGAUUCUCCCGUUUUCUCUGCAUUCUCCUGCAUUACGUAAAACCAUUUUUACUGGAAGAGUUGUACAUAUCCCUCUCAAGCAAAGAAAUCAAAACAGGAAACAUGUUUCAGCAACAGCUGUCAAGAAAAGUCAAUUUGGCGUCGCUUCAGCGGAAAAGACCCGUCAUAUUGCCAAGUUAAGCAGUAAACCUAAAGAUCAGGAAAGCCUCAGAGCUCAACAAAGUCGGAUAAAGAGAACGCAGAACACUACAGCACAGUACAGGCACUUUAUCAGCUGGCCGUGGAUAACUUCACUCACAACUCCAAACUGAUUCUACAAGCUAGACUCAAUUCAAUGACAUCUUAAAACUCAUGCUACACACAAAAUGCUGGAGGAGCUUAGCGGGCCAGGCAGCGUCUAUGGAAAAAUGUACAGUCAACAUUUUGGCCCGAGACCCUUCGGCAGGACUGGCCUGCUGAGUUCCUCCCGCAUUUUGUGUGUGUUGUUUGGAUUCCCAACAUCUACGGAUUUUCUCUUGUUUAUGAUUAAAGCUCAUGUUCCCAUGUGCCGACUGGCCCAAGAGGCAGCAUAGCACAACACUUUACAACACAGCUGUACGUUCUCCCUGCGAUUGUGUAGGUUUCCUCUGGGUGCUCUGGUUUCCUCCCACAGUCCAAAGUUGUACCAGUUGGUGGGUUAUUAGUCAUAGUAAAUUGUCCCGUUAUUAGGCUAUGGUUAAACUGGGGAUUGCUGGGCAACGCGGCUUAUAGGGCCAG